This 849-nucleotide long non-coding RNA is filed under the name Pan troglodytes (chimpanzee). RNAcentral describes it as "long non-coding RNA NONPTRT015455". Lineage: Eukaryota; Metazoa; Chordata; Mammalia; Primates; Hominidae. The record is from RNAcentral.
AGCAGGCCUGGAGACAGGGGGCCUGAGUGUGGGGAUGGUGACCACCCCUCUCAACCUGAGAGGCACCCGGGUCCCUGUAUGUGUGUGUGAGAGAGAGAGAGCAUCAUAGUGCCUGCACUGCACAGAGCUGGCAGAAACAGAAACCAGCAGAGGAAUCCUCUGCUCCAAGGUGGCUGAAUUAGUUUCACAAAAGCCAUCGCUUUUGAUGUUGCUGUCCCUGUUAGUCGGGAAGUUCUUUUCUCUGUUGCUCAGGGCCCUGUCAGAGCUGGGGCCGGCAAGUCCCACGCCCGGUGAUCCCCGCGAAGUUUCCGGGUGCUGUCUUUCACACUGUCUUUUGCGGACGUUGAUCCCUUGCCUAGAACACCCUUUCUCACUUCCCCUCGUUCUCUCAGCAAACACUGGCUCGUCCUUGACAUUUUAUUUUGGGCAUCAGUACCCCCGGGAACCCACCCCCGACCACUGUCUCCACACCCCUCCGCCAGUCUUGCUGGGUUAAGCCUGUCCGCACAUCCAUCUCUUUCCCACCUACUCGGAGCUCUUUGCAGGCAGGGGAAGCUUUUAUGUGUGCUGCAGCAGCCUGGCUGACUGUUGGAUGAAAACCGUGGAAGGGGAUGUAUUCAGUGACGUAAAAGGCUUUUCCCCAAGGUGAGUGAUCCACCAAGGCGAGUGAUCCACCAAGGCGAGUGAUCCACCAAGGCGAGUGAUCCACCAAGGUGAGUGAUCCACCAAGGCGAGUGAUCCAAUUUCCCCACUGAGUAGAAAGGAGAGCAGGCAGGGUGGGGACUCAGCACUUCUUAUUGUCCCAGGACAGUUGUUGAAGCUUUAGAGCCUUAGAUUUGAGUGGAAAGA